This is a non-coding RNA of Linepithema humile (Argentine ant), 1447 nucleotides long. The record is from RefSeq and is a predicted model, not a curated record. Lineage: Eukaryota; Metazoa; Arthropoda; Insecta; Hymenoptera; Formicidae.
GCAACAUCGAUGACAAAGUGUCUGGAGUUGGAGGUCUUAUAAAGCGCGCUUGGCUAUUUUUGCGUGUUAAUAUUAAGCGUAUUUAAUCUGUAACAAGAGCGCGCAAUCUCGUCGCGAGAUUUGAAUGAGAGCCUUACCAGGCCGGUGAAUAGUUUGAUAACAGCUCUCCUCUUGACGGAAGGAGGGAGGAGGUAACAGGAUCAUUCGCCGUCGGUUGGCAGACCAUUCAGUGCCGAGACCAACACUGAUUUCAAGUGGUAAAUUGACUCAGAACGAGUGGGAGAGAAAAAAUGACGGCGUGGAGUGACCGGCGAUGACGUCGCGGAAGUAGAAGGGAGAACAGUGACGUAUUGUUUCUGUUUACCUCUCUUAUUGCAUUAAGGGCUGAGAAUUUGCGGUUGCGUCGCUGAUAGGAAAGGAAGGGUUUGAAAUACGGCAAGAAGACAACGGAGAAAGAUGACGCUGUCACAGAGAACAGCAGUAGCCGUGGAUGUCUUCUCUUCGUCGUCGGACGGUUAAUAGGCAGUGAACGCUGUUUGAAUGCUUAAUGCAGUGCGCAUUCUAGGAUUAAAUUGACCAAUCAUUUCCCGCGCGCAUCGCAGAGGCAAUUGCGCCGCGCGCUCGCGCGCUCUACUAUAUCAAGUCAAUCAAUGGCACUUAGCGCUCAGUUGCCACCGCGCCACUGUGCAGUUCGUAUUAUGACAAGUUGAAUUGUGUAUCCGCGUGCAUCAUUAUAUCAAGCUAAUCGAGAGCGCACUAUGCUCUGUCGUUGCGCGCUUCAUUAGUGGAGUUUGAUUUUUUUUUUUUUGCUUCUGUUGCGUGAAAUUAAAAACGCGCGCGCGCGUGCGAGAAUAAAGCUACGAUUCAGCGCAUUCAGUGAACGAACGGAGUGAAGGAAUGCACGUGAGGAGUCGAUUAUAUUAGUCUAUAAUGACGAAAAAAUAUUUUAUUGGGCUUUCACUAAAAAAAGAACUUGAUAUUUUCUUGCAGAUUACUUGCUCUUGUACGAAGUAUUAUAAAAUUUUCGGUCAACUUCAGAACUUCUCGGUAUUGAAUUCUCGCAUGUCAGAAAUCUGCUGACAAUGUAAUGUUCUUUUCAAAUGUUCAAGAUUAAUCUUCAGGGUUUUUUGGAUUAAUUUCGAGAUUAGUUUAUAAUUGGAUUUAUAUUCAAGUUAAUAUUUAAUGUGAUUUUGAUUUUGGAGAACCUUCAAAAAUCGAACAUUCUAGAUCUUUCGCGAACCUUCUGGAUCUUUCCAGAACCUUUCGAAAUCGAACAUUCUAGACCCUUCGCGAACCUUCUGGAUCUUUUCAGAACUCUUCAAACUCGAAUAUUCUAGACCUUUCGCGAACUUUCUGGACCUUUAGAAUGUCUGAGUUAUUUGUUAUUUAUAAGACAUGUCAUAGACUUUUUUUAAAUUCUUAUUAAAUGUUAACUAUAACAGAUUAU